This 624-nucleotide ribosomal RNA is filed under the name Triticum aestivum (bread wheat). RNAcentral's name for it is "partial small subunit ribosomal RNA". The record is from RNAcentral. Lineage: Eukaryota; Viridiplantae; Streptophyta; Magnoliopsida; Poales; Poaceae.
AUGAAUCAGGAGUUAAUCAAGCACCUUGAGGCCAAAGUGUGUGCUGAUAGCGCGAGAUCUCACCCUCUCAUUGAUUUGUUCAUACCAACCAUCGACAGUGAGCACGGCAUAUGCUACACCCAUCCUCAGAAACUUCCAGGUAUCACACUGAGUGGCCUAAGCAAGCAUUUCUUCCAGCGCAACUCUAGGGCAUUCAAAAGGGGCACGUGGACGCGUCACAAGAUACAGUCAAACUGCGGCAUGCACACGAUGUGGCACAAGACUGGCAAUAUCUUGCCGGUGAUGGUCAACGGCCGGCAGACGGGCAGCAAAAAGGUUCUAGUGCUGCACACCAACGAGAACUUCGACCAGCAAAGGACCAACUGGGUGAUGCACCAGUACCACCUCGGGGACCUGGAGAAAGAGAAGGAGCGGGAGCUAGUCCUCCGCAAGAUUUUUCGUCUGCAAGUUCGUAUUGUUGUUAACGAUCUUUCGCAUAAGGACCUGCCGUUCGAAUUCCCAGUUCUCCAAAAAAUUUACGUCUUCGACGUACGCAGGAGAUCCAUCCGGUUUCACAGACUGAUAGUUGGACACAUCACGUCGGAACUGGGCUGUGGCAUGCCAAACCCAGCUGCAAAUUGUUAA